CGGGCGGGCGGCCGGGCGUGCGGGCUCCGUCCCCGCGCGCUCCGUGGACCGGCCCUGGCUGCUGGCUCGCUCGCUGCAGGAGCCGGGGGCUGCGGGGCCUCCGGCUGCCGCGGUCAUGAGCGCAGUGUCGGAGCCACAGGCUCUGUCCGGCACCCCCGAGAAGCCGCCUAGCUCAGCUAUUCUGUGCCGGACAUGUGGUACACCCUGCCGGGGAGAGGUGCUGCGUGUAAGGAGUCAGUACUUCCACAUCAAGUGCUUCGUGUGCAAAGCCUGUGGCUGUGACCUGGCCGAGGGAGGCUUCUUCGUGCGGCAGGGCGAGUACAUCUGCACCAGUGACUACCAGCGGCUCUAUGGCACCCGCUGCUUCAGCUGUGACCUGUUCAUCGAGGGCGAGGUGGUUUCUGCAUUAGGCAAGACCUACCACCCUGACUGCUUCGUGUGUGCCGCCUGCCGGCUGCCCUUUCCGCCUGGGGACCGUGUGACCUUCAAUGGGAAGGAAUGUGUGUGCCAGAAGUGCUCCCUGCACACAGCGGCGGGCGCCGGGCACCCAACCCAGGGCCUCUGGAGCUGCGGUGGCUGCGGCGCAGAGAUCAAGGACGGCCAGUCCCUGGUGGCACUGGACCAACACUGGCACCUGGGCUGCUUCCGGUGCCGGGCGUGUGGGAAGCAGCUGGACGCCGAGUACAUCAGCAAAGACGGGUUGCCCUACUGCGAGGCCGACUACCACACCAAGUUUGGGGUGCGCUGUGAUGGCUGCGGCAAGUUCAUCACUGGGCAUGUGCUGGAGGCUGGGGACAAGCACUACCACCCGCUGUGUGCAGUCUGUGUGCGCUGUGGCCGCACCUUCGCAGAGGGGGAGGAGAUGUACUUGCAAGGCUCCUGCAUCUGGCAUCCAGCAUGUCGCCAAGCUGCCCGCUCUGAAGACAGAAGUAAGGUGCAGAACACGCUUGGCAGUCUAGGGUCCCCAGGCAGUGCACCCAGCGCCUUACAGGAAACCAGGACUUCCUCCGAGAGCAUCGUGUCUGCACCUGCCUCCAGCACCUCAGGGUCCCCAAGCAGAGUCAUCUAUGCGAAGCUGGGCGAUGAGAUUCUGGACUACCGGGACCUGGCUGCCCUCCCGAAGAGCAAGGCCAUCUACAACAUCGACAGGCCCGAUAUGAUCUCAUACACGCCCUAUAUCAGCCACUCGGCAGGGGACCGGCGGGGCUGCAGCGAGCCCGCUCAGGUGCCUUCGCCAACACCAACAGAGGGGGACCAGGAUGAGCGCUCCUACAAGCAGUGCCGGACCUCCAGUCCCAGCUCCACCGGCUCAGUCAGCCUUGGGCGCUAUACCCCCACCUCCCGCUCACCCCAGCACUACAGCCGCCCAGGCAGUGAAAGCGGCCGCAGCACUCCCAGCCUCUCUGUGGCCUCUGAUGGGAAGGCCCCCCAGCUCAGCUACCAGCCGGCACCUCGGCAUUUCCACGUCCCAGAGACGGGCAAGGAAAACAUCUACCGGAAGCCGCCCAUCUACAAGCAGCAUGGUCCCUUGGCCCAGUCCCCCGUCUCCAAGCUCUCGGGCCUGAUGUCAGUCUUGUCCCUGGUGGUGCGUGGGGCGGGGUGCUCCAAAAGACUUCGAGGCCCCAGCCCGCCUCGAGCCACAGCUGUGAAGGGUUUGGAGGGAGAUGACGGAAGCUUCGCCUUGGACAGCAGGAAGAAGGCCACCUGGCUGCUUCUCAAAGGCGAUACUGACACCAGGACGAACUCCCCUGACCUGGCCACUCAGUGCCUGUCACAGGACAGCGGUGCAGACCAGGACACGCUGCAGGCGACGCCGGGGGACAGCUUUUACUCACGAUGUCCCCCCUCCAACCCCGACCCUGUCCCGGGACACGGAAACAGUGGCCUGGACCACCGGAAUGCCAGUGCAGCCCCCUGGGGAGCAGACCCGGAUGCUGGCUGGGGCACGCGAGAGUACAAGGUAAGGCCACCGCACCCUGCUGCCCGCCCCGCACCACUUGCCCUGUGCUGAGCUGCGCUCCUGUCCCCAGGUGUACCCCUAUGAAGCCCUCAUUGUCACUAACCGACUCCGCGUCAAGCUGCCCAAGGAUGUGGACCGGACAAGGCUGGAGAGACACCUGUCCCCGGAGGACUUCCAUGCCGCCUUCGGGAUGAGUGCGGCCGAGUUCGAGCGGCUGGCCCUCUGGAAGAGGAACGAGCUGAAGAAGAAGGCGCUGCUGUUCUGAGCCACUCCCCGCCUGGCUCUGGCUUCUCCUCACUGGGGCCAGGUGGGGG
RNA transcript from Suncus etruscus (white-toothed pygmy shrew), 2274 nucleotides. It is a transcript of the gene named actin binding LIM protein family member 2, with no coding region annotated. The record is from RefSeq and is a predicted model, not a curated record. The transcript is spliced from 22 exons. NCBI's taxonomy places the organism in Eukaryota, Metazoa, Chordata, Mammalia, Eulipotyphla, Soricidae.